This 497-nucleotide ribosomal RNA is filed under the name uncultured bacterium. Its description in RNAcentral is "partial 16S ribosomal RNA". It matches the Rfam family "Bacterial small subunit ribosomal RNA", at positions 28 to 507 of the family's 1533-position model. The record is from RNAcentral.
GACGAACGCUGGCGGCGUGCCUAAUACAUGCAAGUUGAGCGAUGAAGAUUGGUGCUUGCACCAAUUUGAAGAGCAGCGAACGGGUGAGUAACGCGUGGGGAAUCUGCCUUUGAGCGGGGGACAACAUUUGGAAACGAAUGCUAAUACCGCAUAACAACUUUAAACAUAAGUUUUAAGUUUGGAAGAUGCAAUUGCAUCACUCAAAGAUGAUCCCGCGUUGUAUUAGCUAGUUGGUGAGGUAAAGGCUCACCAAGGCGAUGAUACAUAGCCGACCUGAGAGGGUGAUCGGCCACAUUGGGACUGAGACACGGCCCAAACUCCUACGGGAGGCAGCAGUAGGGAAUCUUCGGCAAUGGACGAAAGUCUGACCGAGCAACGCCGCGUGAGUGAAGAAGGUUUUCGGAUCGUAAAACUCUGUUGGUAGAGAAGAACGUUGGUGAGAGUGGAAAGCUCAUCAAGUGACGGUAACUACCCAGAAAGGGACGGCUAACUACGUG